Molecule: transfer RNA, 38 nt
Filed under: Mammut americanum (American mastodon)
Lineage: Eukaryota; Metazoa; Chordata; Mammalia; Proboscidea; Mammutidae
Description: partial tRNA-Phe
Source: RNAcentral
UGAAAAUACCUAGACGAGUUAAUUUAACUCCAUAAACA